AUGUGGAGGGGCCGGUGUUGCCGGCUGAGAUUGCAUCCGUUUCAGAUGCUGACUCUUUGAACCUGAUCUGGGUUAUGCCAGCGGAGGGAACAUUUAU
Molecule: non-coding RNA, 97 nt
Filed under: Bacillus testis
Lineage: Bacteria; Bacillati; Bacillota; Bacilli; Caryophanales; Bacillaceae
Description: TPP riboswitch (THI element)
Rfam family: TPP riboswitch aptamer (THI element)
About the family: Vitamin B(1) in its active form thiamin pyrophosphate (TPP) is an essential coenzyme that is synthesised by coupling of pyrimidine and thiazole moieties in bacteria.
Source: RNAcentral